AGUGGCGGACGGGUGAGUAACGCGUGAGAAUCUGCCUUGGGGUCGGGGACAACCACUGGAAACGGUGGCUAAUACCGGAUAAGCCGAUUGGUGAAAGAUUUAUUGCCCGAAGAGGAGCUCGCGUCUGAUUAGCUAGUUGGUGAGGUAAGAGCUCACCAAGGCAGCGAUCAGUAGCUGGUCUGAGAGGACGAUCAGCCACACUGGGACUGAGACACGGCCCAGACUCCUACGGGAGGCAGCAGUGGGGAAUUUUCCGCAAUGGGCGAAAGCCUGACGGAGCAAGACCGCGUGAGGGAGGAAGGCUCUUGGGUUGUAAACCUCUUUUCUCAGGGAAGAAGCUCUGACGGUACCUGAGGAAUCAGCCUCGGCUAACUCCGUGCCAGCAGCCGCGGUAAUACGGAGGAGGCAAGCGUUAUCCGGAAUUAUUGGGCGUAAAGCGUCCGCAGGUGGCGAUUCAAGUCUGCUGUCAAAGCACUGGGCUUAACUCCGUAAAGGCAGUGGAAACUGAAUAGCUAGAGUGCCGUAGGGGUAGAGGGAAUUCCCGGUGUAGCGGUGAAAUGCGUAGAGAUCGGGAAGAACAUCGGUGGCGAAAGCGCUCUACUGGACGGCAACUGACACUCAGGGACGAAAGCUAGGGGAGCGAAUGGGAUUAGAUACCCC
This 660-nucleotide ribosomal RNA is filed under the name uncultured bacterium. Its description in RNAcentral is "bacterial SSU rRNA". It matches the Rfam family "Bacterial small subunit ribosomal RNA", at positions 94 to 788 of the family's 1533-position model. The record is from RNAcentral.